Molecule: ribosomal RNA, 425 nt
Filed under: uncultured bacterium
Lineage: Bacteria
Description: bacterial SSU rRNA
Rfam family: Bacterial small subunit ribosomal RNA
Source: RNAcentral
GUGAGGAAUAUUGGUCAAUGGUCGGAAGACUGAACCAGCCAAGCCGCGUGGAGGAAGAAGGCGCUAAGCGUCGUAAACUUCUUUUGUCGGGGAACAAAAUCCGGUACGCGUACCGGACCGAGCGUACCCGAAGAAAAAGCAUCGGCUAACUCCGUGCCAGCAGCCGCGGUAAUACGGAGGAUGCGAGCGUUAUCCGGAUUUAUUGGGUUUAAAGGGUGCGUAGGCGGCGUGUUAAGUCAGCGGUAAAAGACCGGCGCUCAACGCCGGCAAGCCGUUGAAACUGGCAUGCUUGAGUUGGAGAGAAGUAUGCGGAAUGCGCGGUGUAGCGGUGAAAUGCAUAGAUAUCGCGCAGAACUCCGAUUGCGAAGGCAGCAUACCGGCUCCACACUGACGCUGAGGCACGAAAGCGUGGGGAUCAAACAGGA